CAGCAGACACAUUCCAGCCAAUCAGCAGCAGACCCUCCCUCGCAGACCCUCCCACCUCCUGGACAGCAUCCAUUUUACAUUCAUUGUGAAGCUGCAUUCUUAGUGAGCUGUCCAGGAGUUGGGAGGGUCCUUGGAGGGAGGGUCUGCUGCUGAUUGGCUGGAAUGUGUCUGCU
Pelobates cultripes (western spadefoot toad) is the source of this 173-nucleotide non-coding RNA. Lineage: Eukaryota; Metazoa; Chordata; Amphibia; Anura; Pelobatidae. The record is from the annotation of a GenBank genome assembly.